Molecule: ribosomal RNA, 500 nt
Filed under: uncultured bacterium
Lineage: Bacteria
Description: partial 16S ribosomal RNA
Rfam family: Bacterial small subunit ribosomal RNA
Source: RNAcentral
AUUGAACGCUGGCGGCAUGCCUUACACAUGCAAGUCGAACGGCAGCACGGGAGCAAUCCUGGUGGCGAGUGGCGAACGGGUGAGUAAAGUAUCGGAACGUGCCCAGUCGUGGGGGAUAACGUAGCGAAAGUUACGCUAAUACCGCAUACGAUCUAUGGAUGAAAGCGGGGGAUCGCAAGACCUCGCGCGAUUGGAGCGGCCGAUAUCAGAUUAGGGAGUUGGUGGGGUAAAGGCUCACCACGCCGACGAUCUGUAGCUGGUCUGAGAGGACGACCAGCCACACUGGGACUGAGACACGGCCCAGACUCCUACGGGAGGCAGCAGUGGGGAAUUUUGGACAAUGGGCGAAAGCCUGAUCCAGCCAUGCCGCGUGCAGGAUGAAGGCCUUCGGGUUGUAAACUGCUUUUGUACGGAACGAAAAGGUUUGGCCUAAUAAGCUGAGCUCAUGACGGUACCGUAAGAAUAAGCACCGGCUAACUACGUGCCAGCAGCCGCCGUAA